CCUACGGGGGGCAGCAGUGAGGAAUAUUGGUCAAUGGCCGGAAGGCUGAACCAGCCAUGCCGCGUGAAGGUCAGUGCCCUAUGGGCGUUAAACUUCUUUUGUGCGGGAGCAAUAAUGGUCACGUGUGGCCAGACGAGAGUACCGUACGAAUAAGCAUCGGCUAACUCCGUGCCAGCAGCCGCGGUAAUACGGGGGAUGCAAGCGUUAUCCGGAUUUAGUGGGUUUAAAGGGUGCGUAGGCUGGGAGGUAAGUCAGCGGUGAAAUGCCCCCGCGCAACGGGGUGAAGUGCCAUUGAUACUGCCUGGCUGGAAUGCGGAUGCCGUGGGAGGAAUGUGUGGUGUAGCGGUGAAAUGCAUAGAUAUCACGAAGAACUCCGAUUGCGAAGGCAGCUUACUAAACUGCCACUGACAUUGAUGCUCGAAAGUGUGGGUAUCAAACAGGAUUAGAUACCCCGGUAGUC
RNAcentral lists this ribosomal RNA (460 nucleotides) under uncultured bacterium. RNAcentral describes it as "partial 16S ribosomal RNA". It matches the Rfam family "Bacterial small subunit ribosomal RNA", at positions 338 to 795 of the family's 1533-position model. The record is from RNAcentral.